ACUUAAAUUGAAGAGUUUGAUCAUGGCUCAGAUUGAACGCUGGCGGCAGGCCUAACACAUGCAAGUCGAGCGGUAGCACAGAGAGCUUGCUCUCGGGUGACGAGCGGCGGACGGGUGAGUAAUGUCUGGGAAACUGCCUGAUGGAGGGGGAUAACUACUGGAAACGGUAGCUAAUACCGCAUAAUGUCGCAAGACCAAAGUGGGGGACCUUCGGGCCUCAUGCCAUCAGAUGUGCCCAGAUGGGAUUAGCUAGUAGGUGGGGUAAUGGCUCACCUAGGCGACGAUCCCUAGCUGGUCUGAGAGGAUGACCAGCCACACUGGAACUGAGACACGGUCCAGACUCCUACGGGAGGCAGCAGUGGGGAAUAU
This 369-nucleotide ribosomal RNA is filed under the name Klebsiella pneumoniae. Its description in RNAcentral is "bacterial SSU rRNA". It matches the Rfam family "Bacterial small subunit ribosomal RNA", at positions 1 to 364 of the family's 1533-position model. Lineage: Bacteria; Pseudomonadati; Pseudomonadota; Gammaproteobacteria; Enterobacterales; Enterobacteriaceae. The record is from RNAcentral.